CUCCUCCUAUUCCUCUACGCCUUCUGUGAAAUUAUUAAUCUUCGUGUUCAAGUGUUUUUCGCAGAUGUGUUUCUUCGUCGAUAAUUAUACAGUGAGGAAUAUAAACAAUAUGUGGAUGUUGUAAAACCCUCGCUGGACCACUGGAUAGCUUCUUCGAUUGGUUUGCCACGACCAUGUGCCACGUCGAGACGUAUGCAGUUCUGAAGUCCUCGUCCUCUAGUUAUGACCAAGGGCUUACUUUGAUGUAUUCAGCAUCGUUGUGUGUGAUUGAGCCCAAGUGGAGUCCUAGCUUGAUGUGUCGUAUAAUUGGCUCCUUUAUCUGCAACUUGCUCUUGUGGUGAACGUCGUCGUCACUUCCACUUAUAUGCCUCUCUGGACAAUAACAGGACAGAGUGGUUACGAACUAAACAUAUUCACUGAAAAGGACUUUCUCGCUUCGUCUACGUUUUGGAUGAGGUCCUUUCGUCGACAGGAAUUCCAUUUAACUAUAUAGCGGUCUAACAUACGAAUGUACUAUUUGGCUUGCCACCUUCAGCGUGUUUGUUGUUAAUUGUAAGGUGUUAAUAAUUAUAUUAAUCUGUAUGUUAA
This is a long non-coding RNA of Macrobrachium nipponense, 588 nucleotides long. RefSeq lists it as uncharacterized. The record is from RefSeq and is a predicted model, not a curated record. Lineage: Eukaryota; Metazoa; Arthropoda; Malacostraca; Decapoda; Palaemonidae. The transcript is spliced from 2 exons.